This 1338-nucleotide ribosomal RNA is filed under the name uncultured bacterium. RNAcentral's name for it is "bacterial SSU rRNA". It matches the Rfam family "Bacterial small subunit ribosomal RNA", at positions 28 to 1387 of the family's 1533-position model. The record is from RNAcentral.
GACGAACGCUGGCGGCGCGCCUAACACAUGCAAGUCGAACGAGCGAGAGAGAGCUUGCUUUCUCGAGCGAGUGGCGAACGGGUGAGUAACGCGUGAGGAACCUGCCUCAAAGAGGGGGACAACAGUUGGAAACGACUGCUAAUACCGCAUAAGCCCACGGGUCGGCAUCGACCAGAGGGAAAAGGAGUAAUCCGCUUUGAGAUGGCCUCGCGUCCGAUUAGCUGGUUGGUGAGGUAACGGCCCACCAAGGCGACGAUCGGUAGCCGGACUGAGAGGUUGAACGGCCACAUUGGGACUGAGACACGGCCCAGACUCCUACGGGAGGCAGCAGUGGGGAAUAUUGCACAAUGGGGGAAACCCUGAUGCAGCGACGCCGCGUGGAGGAAGAAGGUCUUCGGAUUGUAAACUCCUGUUGUUGAGGAAGAUAAUGACGGUACUCAACAAGGAAGUGACGGCUAACUACGUGCCAGCAGCCGCGGUAAAACGUAGGUCACAAGCGUUGUCCGGAAUUACUGGGUGUAAAGGGAGCGCAGGCGGGAAGACAAGUUGGAAGUGAAAUCCAUGGGCUCAACUCAUGAACUGCUUUCAAAACUGUUUUUCUUGAGUAGUGCAGAGGUAGGCGGAAUUCCCGGUGUAGCGGUGGAAUGCGUAGAUAUCGGGAGGAACACCAGUGGCGAAGGCGGCCUACUGGGCACCAACUGACGCUGAGGCUCGAAAGUGUGGGUAGCAAACAGGAUAAAAUACCCUGGUAGUCCACACCGUAAACGAUGAUUACUAGGUGUUGGAGGAGUGACCCCCUCAGCGCCGCAGUUAACACAAUAAGUAAUCCACCUGGGGAGUACGACCGCAAGGUUGAAACUCAAAGGAAUAGACGGGGGCCCGCACAAGCAGCGGAGUAUGUGGUUUAACUCGACGCAACGCGAAGAACCUUACCAAGUCUUGACAUCCCUCGACGAUGCUGGAAACAGUAUUUCUUUUCGGAGCAAGGAGACAGGUGGUGCAUGGUUGUCGUCAGCUCGUGUCGUGAGAUGUUGGGUUAAGUCCCGCAACGAGCGCAACCCUUAUGGUCAGUUACUACGCAAGAGGACUCUGGCCAGACUGCCGUUGACAAAACGGAGGAAGGUGGGGAGGACGUCAAAUCAUCAUGCCCUCUAUGACUUGGGCUACACACGUACUACAAUGGCGUUAAACAAAGAGAAGCAAGACCGCGAGGUGGAGCAAAACUCAGAAACAACGUCCCAGUUCGGACUGCAGGCUGCAACUCGCCUGCACGAAGUCGGAAUUGCUAGUAAUCGUGGAUCAGCAUGCCACGGUGAAUAAGAUCCCGGGCCUUGCACA